RNAcentral lists this ribosomal RNA (449 nucleotides) under uncultured bacterium. RNAcentral describes it as "partial 16S ribosomal RNA". It matches the Rfam family "Bacterial small subunit ribosomal RNA", at positions 29 to 523 of the family's 1533-position model. The record is from RNAcentral.
AACGAACGCUGGCGGCAGGCUUAACACAUGCAAGUCGAACGCAUCCUUCGGGGUGAGUGGCAGACGGGUGAGUAACGCGUGGGAACGUGCCCUUCAGUUCGCGAUAACCCAGGGAAACUUGGGCUAAUACCGGAUACGUGCGAGAGCAGAAAGAUUUAUCGCUGAAGGAUCGGCCCGCGUCUGAUUAGCUAGUUGGUGGGGUAAUGGCCCACCAAGGCGACGAUCAGUAGCUGGUCUGAGAGGAUGAUCAGCCACAUUGGGACUGAGACACGGCCCAAACUCCUACGGGAGGCAGCAGUGGGGAAUAUUGGACAAUGGGCGCAAGCCCGAUCCAGCCAUGCCGCGUGAGUGAUGAAGGCCUUAGGGUUGUAAAGCUCUUUCGUCCGGGACGAUAAUGACGGUACCGGAAGUAGAAGCCCCGGCUAACUUCGUGCCAGCCGCCGCAGUAA